ACUCCGUACGGGAGGCAGCAGUGGGGAAUAUUGCACAAUGGGCGCAAGCCUGAUGCAGCAACGCCGUGUGAGUGAAGAAGGUUUUCGGAUCGUAAACUCUGUCCUAAGGGAAGAAACAAAUGACGGUACCUUAGGAGGAAGCCCCGGCUAACUACGUGCCAGCAGCCGCGGUAAUACGUAGGGGCAAGCGUUUAUCCGGAAUCACUGGGCGUAAAGGGUGCGUAGGCGGCUUAGCAAGCCAGGGUGAAAGGCAUUGGCUCAACCAAUGUAAGCCUUUGGAACUGUUAGGCUUGAGUGCAGGAGAGGUAAGUGGAUUCCUAGUGUAGAGGUGAAAUUCGUAGAUAUUAGGAGGAACACCAGUGGCGAAGGCGACUUACUGGACUGUAACUGACGCUGAUGCACGAAAAGCGUGGGUAGCGAACAGGAUUAGAU
Molecule: ribosomal RNA, 432 nt
Filed under: uncultured bacterium
Lineage: Bacteria
Description: bacterial SSU rRNA
Rfam family: Bacterial small subunit ribosomal RNA
Source: RNAcentral